RNAcentral lists this ribosomal RNA (432 nucleotides) under uncultured bacterium. Its description in RNAcentral is "partial 16S ribosomal RNA". It matches the Rfam family "Bacterial small subunit ribosomal RNA", at positions 29 to 506 of the family's 1533-position model. The record is from RNAcentral.
AACGAACGCUGGCGGCAUGCCUAACACAUGCAAGUCGAACGAGACCUUCGGGUCUAGUGGCGCACGGGUGCGUAACACGUGGGAAUCUGCCCUUUGCUUCGGAAUAACAGUUAGAAAUGACUGCUAAUACCGGAUGAUGUCGAAAGACAAAAGAUUUAUCGGCAAAGGAUGAGCCCGCGUAGGAUUAGGUAGUUGGUGGGGUAAAGGCCUACCAAGCCGACGAUCCUUAGCUGGUCUGAGAGGAUGAUCAGCCACACUGGGACUGAGACACGGCCCAGACUCCUACGGGAGGCAGCAGUGGGGAAUAUUGGACAAUGGGCGAAAGCCUGAUCCAGCAAUGCCGCGUGAGUGAUGAAGGCCUUAGGGUUGUAAAGCUCUUUUACCAGGGAUGAUAAUGACAGUACCUGGAGAAUAAGCUCCGGCUAACUCCGU